GCGAGGGCCCUGUGAGGAGGGGCACCUGCCACUAGAAGCGGCCUCUGGGACGUCGCGCUGAGCCCUGCUUUGGAGUCAGAGGGGCUUUCCGCCUCGGUGAACUCGAGAGUAGCAACUCUCCUCCGGGUAACCGGAGUGCCACAGCGGGCAGGCGUCAUAAGGACAGGCCUCGGAGAGGAGAGGGGCUACCCGAGAAUGGCCUCAAAAGAUUGUCUGCCGUGGUGGCUUCUCACACAAGCCUGUACUUUCCUGUGGGAGAAUAUUUCCUAGGAGCCUAUAUUCCAGUUCAUCUCUGACGUCAUAAAUCAUGACUGUGUAGAAAGGCCAUAACAUGUGACACAUGGCAGCCAUUUUGGAGAUGGCCAGAUGAGAGGACAAUCAAUCCACAUGCCUAAAUGGAACCAACAGACAUGUGCCAGCUUGCUUCUCCAGCCUAUGUUCUCAGACACUUGUAGAAGACCAGAGGGAAAAUGGAAUCAGAAAAAACAGCAACAACAACAAAAAGCCAUCCAGGGCCAUGCACAGUGGCUCACUCCUGUAAUCCCAACAGUUUGGGAGGCCAAGGCAGGUGGAUUGCUUGAGCUCAGCAGUUUAAGACCAGCCUGGGCAACAUGGCGAAACCCUUUCUCUACUAAAUACAAAAACUAGCUGGGUGUGGUGGCAUGCACCUGUAGUCCCAGCUACUCGGGAGGCUGAGGUGGGAGGAUCACCUGAGCCUGGGAGGUUGAAGCUGCAGUGAGCUGUGAUGGUGCCACUGCACUCCCACCUGGGUGACAGAGCAAGACCCUGUCUCAAAAAAACAAAACUAAACAAAAAAAUCCAUGUGGGAAAAGGCCCAAUCAGAGCCAACUCACUGCUGGGAUUAGUAGAAAUGAUUAGUCACCAGAAGGCAAAUCGUGGAAGAAUGAAGAGAUGACAGGACCUCAGGAACUACACCCAGAGGUGUAGUUGUGCCGUAGGCAAAGCAUCAUGCCGGUCAUCCCCAAGAAAGGGAGAAGGGGUAGAGCUCAGACUCUUCCCUGCUUCCCCAUAAGUCCAGUUUACCCUGGGCUGAUCCUUUCAGCAUGGCAGCCUCCGUGGGGAGGCACGAGAUCCAAAGAUGAAGAUGUCUAUGGGGGUGAAGAAGAAUGGCAAACUUUGCAGGCAAGAGUAGGCAUUAGAGAGAUCAGAGGAGGAAGACAAUAGAGAAGGAUGACACAGGACAGGCUGUAUCUAGAGGAUAUAAUGCCAUGGACUUUGGACUAUUCCAGAGAGGCUGAGAGACCUGUCUCCUGCCUACAAGGCUCCUUGAACUCUGCACCCUUCUUUUUGCUAAAGUGCUGCUGAGGCCUGUCUCACUUCCCAAUGAAAAGCAACUCAGGAAAUUGGCUUCCUGCCCCACUCCUUCUUUGGGAGAGAGAAACAGAACUGAAGAGGAAGGAAGGAAGCCCAAAGAAACAGAGGCUUUCUUUCCUGGCUGAGAUUUGUUGGCACUGCCCACUAACAUAGAGAAUAAGGUGGUUCCCUAAGCGAGCCUUAAGCUGGC
RNAcentral lists this long non-coding RNA (1525 nucleotides) under Homo sapiens (human). RNAcentral's name for it is "non-protein coding BSN-DT:21". The record is from RNAcentral. Lineage: Eukaryota; Metazoa; Chordata; Mammalia; Primates; Hominidae.